This is a non-coding RNA of Triticum aestivum (bread wheat), 81 nucleotides long. The record is from Rfam. Lineage: Eukaryota; Viridiplantae; Streptophyta; Magnoliopsida; Poales; Poaceae.
GCCUUGAUGGUGAAAUGAUAGACACGCGAGACUCAAAAUCUCGUGCUGAAGAGCGUGGAGGUUCGAGUCCUCUUCAAGGCA